UCGUAACAAGGUUUCCGUAGGUGAACCUGCGGAAGGAUCAUUACUGAUUUGCUUAAUUGCACCACAUGUGUUUUUCUUUGAAACAAACUUGCUUUGGCGGUGGGCCCAGCCUGCCGCCAGAGGUCUAAACUUACAACCAAUUUUUUAUCAACUUGUCACACCAGAUUAUUACUAAUAGUCAAAACUUUCAACAACGGAUCUCUUGGUUCUCGCAUCGAUGAAGAACGCAGCGAAAUGCGAUACGUAAUAUGAAUUGCAGAUAUUCGUGAAUCAUCGAAUCUUUGAACGCACAUUGCGCCCUCUGGUAUUCCGGAGGGCAUGCCUGUUUGAGCGUCGUUUCUCCCUCAAACCGCUGGGUUUGGUGUUGAGCAAUACGACUUGGGUUUGCUUGAAAGACGGUAGUGGUAAGGCGGGAUCGCUUUGACAAUGGCUUAGGUCUAACCAAAAACAUUGCUUGCGGCGGUAACGUCUACCACGUAUAUCUUCAAACUUUGACCUCAAAUCAGGUAGGACUACCCGCUGAACUUAAGCAUAUCAAUAAGCGGAGGAA
This 550-nucleotide unclassified non-coding RNA is filed under the name Candida albicans. RNAcentral describes it as "sequence contains 18S rRNA gene, ITS1, 5.8S rRNA gene, ITS2, 28S rRNA gene". The stretch from base 183 to 336 matches the Rfam family "5.8S ribosomal RNA". The record is from RNAcentral. Lineage: Eukaryota; Fungi; Ascomycota; Pichiomycetes; Serinales; Debaryomycetaceae.